AUGGUUCUGCGGGAGAAUCUGUCAGCCUGCCGCGUGAGUGAUGAAGGCCUUCGGGUUGUAAAGCUCUUUGAUUGGAGACAAUAAUGAUGGUAUCCAAAGAACAAGCCCCGGCUAACUCUGUGCCAGCAGCCGCGGUAAUACAGAGGGGGCUAGCGUUGUUCGGAAUUACUGGGCGUAAAGCGUGCGUAGGCGGCCUAAUAAGUCAGAAGUGAAAGCCCAAGGCCUAACCUUGGAAUUGCUUUUGAUACUGCUAGGCUUGAAGGUGGUAGAGGAUAGUGGAAUUCUUAGUGUAGGAGUGAAAUCCGUAGAUAUUAAGAGGAACACCAGUGGCGAAGGCGACUAUCUGGACCAUUCUUGACGCUGAGGUACGAAA
RNAcentral lists this ribosomal RNA (373 nucleotides) under uncultured bacterium. RNAcentral's name for it is "bacterial SSU rRNA". It matches the Rfam family "Bacterial small subunit ribosomal RNA", at positions 370 to 758 of the family's 1533-position model. The record is from RNAcentral.